UUUUCAAUCAGGGUAAUUUUUAAUUGACCUCUAAAUUAAAAAUAGUUUGAUUAUACACUGUUUGAAGAAAAUUAAUUAUCCUUCUUUUCCUUCAAAGUAUGGAAAUUUUAAGGCCAAGCCAAUUUCUAAGCCAAAGUUAAAGAAGGACAAAUAUAGGACUUUAAAAGCUAGGUGCAACCUUAACAAUUGGGAGAAUACUGCUGUUCCAUAAUAAAGAGAAGGUAGACGUGACAGAACUUCCUGAGACAGCUACAGAUUUGACAAUGAGAGGGGCAAACUAAAACUUCAAAAAAUCCAGCACUUACAGAAUUUAGCUGAAACUCCCUUGAUGUGUGGUGUUCAGUAGUCUGACAUGGGACUAGCACAGGGAGCUGCUCCUGGGAUGUGCUGCACCUCCAGAGGAAACUGCAAUGUGCUGCUGUUACCUAGGAAAACAUAUCCUCCAAAAUGGGGCACUGCAAUUCCUUCUCUGAGACAUUGCUCUUUCUUCCUCCACAGCUUCUGAUGUGUUUUACCACCACUGUGAAGGCAGAAGAGAGAAGCAGAAUAGAACAGGACAAGGUUGGUGCUGCACUCCCUGGACUUAGUUUUUCCUUCUUCAGAAGGCCCCUGUGUAUAGAACGAGCUAUGACAUAUGCUGUUGCUCCUGAAGAGGUGCUCCAGUAACAGGCAUCUACUGGAUGCAUUUCGGAGAGCACUGAAUGAAAAGGAUGUGUUUAAAUGCUGAAGGAUGUGAGCAAAGCCAGUAGUGACAAAUUAAAAAAAGGAGGAGUUCCAGGAAGGAACAGAAUGAAAGAGAUUUUUGAAAAAAAAGGCAAGG
This 820-nucleotide long non-coding RNA is filed under the name Parus major (Great Tit). RNAcentral describes it as "lncRNA (ENSPMJG00000016319.1)". Lineage: Eukaryota; Metazoa; Chordata; Aves; Passeriformes; Paridae. The record is from RNAcentral.